AUUCUCUGGAUUGUAAACUUCUUUUAUCUGGGAAGAAAUGCCGAUUUUCUAAUUGGUUUGACGGUACCAGAUGAAUAAGCACCGGCUAACUCCGUGCCAGCAGCCGCGGUAAU
This 113-nucleotide ribosomal RNA is filed under the name uncultured bacterium. Its description in RNAcentral is "partial 16S ribosomal RNA". It matches the Rfam family "Bacterial small subunit ribosomal RNA", at positions 413 to 524 of the family's 1533-position model. The record is from RNAcentral.